CCUACGGGGGGCAGCAGUGAGGAAUAUUGGUCAAUGGGCGGGAGCCUGAACCAGCCAAGUCGCGUGAGGGAAGACGGUCCUAUGGAUUGUAAACCUCUUUAGGCGGGGAGCAAUGCCGGGCACGCGUGCCCGGAGGGAGAGUACCCGCAGCAUAAGCAUCGGCGAACUCCGUGCCAGCAGCCGCGGUAAUACGGAGGAUGCGAGCGUUAUCCGGAAUUACUGGGUGUAAAGGGAGCGUAGGCGGGAUGGCAAGUUGGGGGUUAAAUCUACCGGCUCAACUGGUAGUCGCACUCAAAACUGAUAUUCUUGAGUGAGGUAGAGGCAGGCGGAAUUCCUAGUGUAGCGGUGAAAUGCGUAGAUAUUAGGAGGAACACCAGUGGCGAAGGCGGCCUGCUGGGCUUUUACUGACGCUGAGGCUCGAAAGUGUGGGGAGCAAACAGGAUUAGAUACCCUUGUAGUC
This 460-nucleotide ribosomal RNA is filed under the name uncultured bacterium. RNAcentral's name for it is "partial 16S ribosomal RNA". It matches the Rfam family "Bacterial small subunit ribosomal RNA", at positions 338 to 795 of the family's 1533-position model. The record is from RNAcentral.